This is a long non-coding RNA of Asparagus officinalis (garden asparagus), 769 nucleotides long. RefSeq lists it as uncharacterized. The record is from RefSeq and is a predicted model, not a curated record. Lineage: Eukaryota; Viridiplantae; Streptophyta; Magnoliopsida; Asparagales; Asparagaceae. The transcript has 2 exons.
UAAUUAUUGGUUCUGUGGAUUACAAUAUGUGAUAAGAAUAUUCAUGUUUGGAGGUUCGCCAGUUUGUUUCUGGCUAUCUAAACUGUUAGUUUUGAAUGGGAACUUGCUUUAAUGACAUUGUCAUAUUUAGUCUGCCACAUUCAUCACUUUGUAACACAGGAAUUGGUAUUAUCUAUUUAUCCUGUUGGACAUUUGACUAAAUUUUCAAUUUCAAUGGUUGGAACUUUGGGAAAUAGUUAGUUCAUUGCAGUGGUAUCCUGUAUCUUUACUUCAACCCAAUGAUCUUUUAGAAGAUAUGAAGCUUCACCGCAAGGAUUUGGAGGUUUGCUACUUUUUAUGGAAUCCUAAACUAAUGUGUCUUAUAAUGAUAAUCCUAUAUCCUGGCAGGUAUAAUCACUAUCAACCCAUUGCCACACUAUGAUUUUACUUUUUUUAGGGAUAGCUGUCUUCUGUCAUAGUCACUAACUGCUAUCAAUAAUAUUUGCUAGCCCAGAUUUGGGCUUUACAGUGUUGCAUCUUGUUAUUUUGCUAGGGUUUUUUUCUCCGUAAAGUGUCUGUUGUCCUUCCUAGGUGUUGUGGGGUCCAGGUGAUCGAAAUUGUAAUAAUUUUACUUUCUGCACCUUGUUUUCAAUUUAUGCUAAGAGUGGUUAAUUUUUAUAUUUAAGUUGCUAGCUUUGAACAAAAUCUAGAUAGCUUUUAUAUGGUAUUCCGGGUCUGCUAAAGAGUGAUCAUCUUUCUUGCUUGGCCAUGUUCCAAUAGCAAUUGAGUC